CACGUAGGUGGCAAGCGUUAUCCGGAAUUACUGGGCGUAAAGGGUCCGCAGGUGGGAUGGUCAGUCCGAUGUGACAGUACCCGGCUUAACUGGGUGAGGCCAUUGGAAACUGCCAUUCUUGAGUCACAGAGAGGGAAGCGGAAUUCCCGGUGUAGUGGUGGAAUGCGUAGAUAUCGGGAGGAACACCAGUGGCGAAGGCGGCUUCCUGGACCUGUUCUGACGCUGAGGAGCGAAAGCGUGGGGAGCGAUCCGG
This 253-nucleotide ribosomal RNA is filed under the name uncultured bacterium. RNAcentral describes it as "partial 16S ribosomal RNA". It matches the Rfam family "Bacterial small subunit ribosomal RNA", at positions 524 to 776 of the family's 1533-position model. The record is from RNAcentral.